This 256-nucleotide ribosomal RNA is filed under the name uncultured Staphylococcus sp. Its description in RNAcentral is "partial 16S ribosomal RNA". It matches the Rfam family "Bacterial small subunit ribosomal RNA", at positions 105 to 354 of the family's 1533-position model. Lineage: Bacteria; Bacillati; Bacillota; Bacilli; Caryophanales; Staphylococcaceae. The record is from RNAcentral.
GGUAGUAACACGUGGAUAACCUACCUAUAGGACUGGGAUAACUUCGGGAAACCGGAGCUAAUACCGGAUAAUAUAUUGAACCGCAUUGUUCAAUAGUGAAAGACGGUUUUGCUGUCACUUAUAGAUGGAUCCGCGCCGCAUUAGCUAGUUGGUAAGGUAACGGUUUACCAAGGCAACGAUGCGUAGCCGACCUGAGAGGGUGAUCGGCCACACUGGAACUGAGACACGGUCCAGACUCCUACGGGAGGCAGCAGGG